Molecule: transfer RNA, 69 nt
Filed under: Nycticorax nycticorax (black-crowned night-heron)
Lineage: Eukaryota; Metazoa; Chordata; Aves; Pelecaniformes; Ardeidae
Also listed under: 2 other names
Description: tRNA-Trp
Rfam family: tRNA
About the family: Transfer RNA (tRNA) molecules are approximately 80 nucleotides in length. Their secondary structure includes four short double-helical elements and three loops (D, anti-codon, and T loops).
Source: RNAcentral
AGAAACUUAGGAUAACUAAACCGAAGGCCUUCAAAGCCUUAAACAAGAGUUAAACCCUCUUAGUUUCUG